CCCCCCACCCCGCGCGCGCCUCCUCUCCCCUCCCCUCCCACGCGCCUCCUCUCCUCCUUCCCCGCCGCCGCCCGGCCUCCUCCUUCCACCCCUCCGGCCGGCUCCUCUCCCGCUCGCGCCGCCUCCUCCUCCCCACCAGCGCCUCCCUCUCGUCCUUCCCCACCUUCGCCUGGCCUCCUCCUUCCUCCCCUCCGAUCUGGCGCCGCCCAAACCCUAACGCCCCGCCCCGGCCCUGGAUCGUGCGCCGCCUCCGCUGCCGGCAGGAGGGGGCCGCGGCGGCCGCGGCGCAGCCCGAUGACCAGGAGCUCCCCGGUGAGCAGCCGUCCGCCCCUUCCCCCUCCAAAGCUCGCGCUCUUCCUCUCUUCACCGUCCCCUUGCUCCGCCGGCCGCCGGCCCGCCAACUCCUUCGCCUCCGGGAAGCACCGCCUUGUUUGCUCCUGUUCGGCGGCGGCCGUGGUCGAGCUCGAGCCCGGGCGCGGCGGCGCGUUGUUGAGCAUGGCUGCGGCCCGGCCAUGGCCGAGCUCGAGUGUUUCGUUGACGUUCCUACUGAUGUGCGCCCUAACUGUUGCUGUUGUGCGCCCUAACUGCCAUGGCCGAGCUCAGCUCUAUCAAUUCCCCGCCCUAACUGCUGUUGUGCGCCCUAACCCUAGCCUCUCACAGUAGGGAGAGGAGGUCGUGGGGGAGGAAGGAGAAGAGGACAUGGAGCAGCGUAACUGGCGGAGCAGCUGCAACGUCGAGCGGCCUCAGUGAACCAAGAGAGUCGUGGAUGCAGUGAGAGUUGGGUGUCGUGUCCGAUUGAGCGGCAAGCCGGAACUGCAAGUUGUUGAACAUGUGGUGCUACUGUGACUUGUGAUAAAGAUUCACGAGUUGGCUGCGCACAUGCUUGCUGGCUGGAAGGAGUUUGAUUCAUUACUUGAUGGCCUCAAAAUGGAUACAGGAUCUGUUGGAAUCAAGAAGGCCUUAAGGCGAACCUUACCCACUGCAAGUCCGCAGUGUGGCUGCUUGGUGGCUGUCGCAUUGCUGGCCAGGCUCCACCUCCGCCUUGUGGUUGUUGGCGUCACCGGCCAUGCCCCACCCGCACAAACUCCUGCUCGCCUCCCAUCUUGAUGUCCACAUCUAAGUAUGGGGUUUCCGACUAUGGUGCAGCAUAACCUCAGUAGAUCAUCUCCAAAUGGGUGCUAGUAUGGUAGUUCAAUAUACGCAUUGAUUUGGCAGGAUUUAUGAGGAGUGGGUAAUCAAUGAACCUACAAUCAGUCACGACUCUAGAGCAAAAGAAAGGGUCAAGCAGUGAUGCGUCGAGCUCGGGUUCGAGGACAAGGCCAACCUCAUGCAGUCGAUUAAGAAUACGCUGCAGGGUUUGGUGGUCUGGCACAUCGAGUGCUCGAGAGCCUGGAGCCCAAGGUCAGGAAGCGCGUUGAGGCGCUCCAAAAUAUAUCCAGGUGCUACUCAAUUCGUUAGUUGUAUCUCAUUAUGCGCUGGACAACACAACAAUUUGAUUGUGAAUCUAUUCUGGUGCAGAGUCGUUCGAUGCUUGCACCGUUGUAAUCGCUUUGGCUACUUCCAGUGCUGAUCAAGAGCAGGGACAACAGAUCAUGUAUCCUUUGCUUCAUGAACUAAUGUUCUAAAUUCUUCAAGCAGCGAGGCACACAUACCGUCUAGUAGCAGUACUAUCGCAAAGCCAGUUGAUGCUAGGUGUGCUUGAAGAUGUUCCACUCCAUGGAUCGAUAGAGUACAAUGGCUUUGUCUACACUUAUCUUUAAGGACACAACCUGGAGUCUUGUGGAGGUGUGAAGAUGAUACCCAAGUAAUCUAGGACAUUAAUUUGUUACGGGUUCACUUGUGUACAAGAGUGCCAUGUUCUUUCCCGUGUAAUAUAUUGUGAUUUUUUUGUUUAACAUCAUGUAGACUGUAUCUUUCUAUGGUAGUAAACAUUAUCCUGCUUUUUGGUUUGGAGCUGAGCGCUGGACCAUGGUGAUGGAGACUGCUCUUUGGAAUUCCAGUAUACUUGGAGAAAGAAGCAAAAGUUGAGGACCAGGUUGUUCUCAGUAUAUUUGUCACAACAAGUAUGAUUUGGUAUAUCAUGUUAUCAUGUUAUAUUUCAUAUGAAAUUUGCCAAUGGCGUGUGAUGAACCUUGAUGCUGUCUAUCCUUUAUAUGGAUAAGAUGUAAACUUUGUUUUAGAUUAGUACUUCCUCUCUUAUGUUUGCGCUCUUAGUACUGAACUUAGAGUCAAGUGGUUACCUUUUGUGGUCUGAUGAAAGCACUGAACUUGAACUCUAUGUUGCCUUAUAAUCUCA
Molecule: ribosomal RNA, 2296 nt
Filed under: Triticum aestivum (bread wheat)
Lineage: Eukaryota; Viridiplantae; Streptophyta; Magnoliopsida; Poales; Poaceae
Description: partial small subunit ribosomal RNA
Source: RNAcentral